UCUGUCCAAUGUAACAAAAUCAUUUUUGGAGAGUGGACUUUUGAGUUGAAUGGGUUUUGUUUCUUCUAUCGUUUGGCUUGUUAAGUAAUUUCAGGUGGCUUUGAAGGAUGAAUUGCUUAGGCAGACGUGUGGAUACACUUCAAUGAAUACCUUACAAAUUGAGCGAAAUACAUCCUAAAAAAAGCCGAUUAAAAUUGCCAUUGACUUUACAUACAUCACAUAAUAACAUCCCUCCGGCCACCACUUCACUACCGACCCAACAUCCCCGCCGGACCGGCUACGUUAGCACCAGCCGCCGGACGACACCGUUAUCAAAUUUCAUUCAAUACCCUAAAUUCCAAAUCACACAGAGAAACAUAAAUCAAAUUUCUUUUUUCUUCCCCCUUCUCAAUUUCAAAUUUUCUCCAGCUUCUCUGCCUUCACCACAGGAUUGGCCUUAGCAAUCUGCUCUUUGCCCAUAGCCUUAAAAUCAAAGGUGCAAGCAUGCUGCUCCGGGUACCUGUGCGUCCCGCAGAACAUCAUCCCACACCUGCACUUAAAUCCCGUAAGCCCCACGCGCUUCCUGCACGUCAAGCACCUGUUUGGCCGCACCGCAGGUGUCUCCUUCUUAUCAUCCACGGCCGCCGCCGAAGCAGGCUGACUGCUGCUGAUCUCAGGCAGAUCAACGGCCACCGGAGACGAAACAGAAACUGAUGCAGUCGACGAUGAGGACGAGGAUGGUGAUGACGGCGAGGAGGUGGAAGCUAGGGUUUGAUUCAAGACGAGCUUGGCGUUGGAGGAUUGCUGCUCUUUGAGUUGGAGAUCGCAGUAACAUUUGGAGCAGAGGUUUUGGGUGGCCGGACUCCCCAAGAAUCCGCAGUUGUUGGUGCACAGACGCUGUGCCUGACAUCUAUGCUCUUCCGCCAUUUCUAUCGCUUCAAAUUCCUUCCAAAACUGGCCCAAAAAAUCACAAAAUUAGCUUAAAAAAUACAGAAUUUUGAACAAAAUUCAUCACAACAGAAAUAAAUAGAUGGGUAAAAAAAAUCAAAAUUUUACCUGAUUUGAGAUAUGCUGAUUAAGGGGAUUGCUGGGUGUUUGUGUGUUGUGAAGGUGAGAGAGAGAAAAUUAAAUAAAAGAAAAGAAAACGACAGGAAUCCGUGGUUUUUGAAUUGGGUUGAGAAAGAAAGAAAAAAUGAUGGGAAAUGGAAUCAAAUUAAACAGAAACCCAAAAGAAAAGCACCUCCACAAAGCAUAAAUAUAAAGAGAAGGAGAAGAGGAGGGCGAUUCCUGACUGGUUAUUUGGACCUUUGCCUGAAGAUUCCACACACCUUCCCUCUUUCUCUUUCUCUCUCUUUUUAAAAUUUCCCU
RNAcentral lists this unclassified non-coding RNA (1347 nucleotides) under Hevea brasiliensis (rubber tree). Lineage: Eukaryota; Viridiplantae; Streptophyta; Magnoliopsida; Malpighiales; Euphorbiaceae. The record is from RNAcentral.